This 598-nucleotide long non-coding RNA is filed under the name Homo sapiens (human). Its description in RNAcentral is "non-protein coding lnc-BHLHB9-6:1". Lineage: Eukaryota; Metazoa; Chordata; Mammalia; Primates; Hominidae. The record is from RNAcentral.
UGGUGUACCCAUUCUAACUGGGCUUUCUCAAUGCAAUAUCAACUCUUAUAGACGUUCUCCAUUUCCACCACCACACAUUAAUAACCAUUUUCUUAAUUAUAGAGGACUAAUACUAUUAAUGUUUUAUUAAUACUAACAACUAAAUUAACUUAUACACAUAUACAGAUGCUCAAGAAGUAGACAGUAUGAACUAUUCUACCCACUAUUAUUUUGAACCUAAUUGCCUAACUGUAAACACUAUAGGCCACCAAUGAUUAACAUGAAACCCCUUGAGAAAAAAAAAUGAACCUUGAUUAUUGUAUAAUUCAUACAACAGAUCUUAAACCAGGGGAGCUACGAUUACUUGAAGUUGAUAAUUGAGUAGUUUUACCCAUAGAAAUAUCAAUUUGCAUACUAAUCUCAUUUGAAAAUGUAUUACAUCCAUGAACUGUUCCAUCAUUAGGCUUAAAAACAGACAGAAUUACAGGGUGUUUAAAUCAAACAACCCCAACAUCCACAUGACUAGGCCUAUAUUAUGGUCAGUGCUCAGAAAUUUUUGGAUCAAAUCAGGGCUUCAUACCUAUUAUACCUGAAUUAGUUCCUCUAAAUCAUUUAAAAA